GAAGCUUGACCUCGGAUCAGGUAGGGGUACCCGCUGAACUUAAGCAUAUCAAUAAGCGGAGGAAAAGAAACCAACAGGGAUUG
This 83-nucleotide ribosomal RNA is filed under the name Inocyclus angularis. RNAcentral's name for it is "partial 28S ribosomal RNA". It matches the Rfam family "Eukaryotic large subunit ribosomal RNA", at positions 1 to 77 of the family's 3401-position model. The record is from RNAcentral. Lineage: Eukaryota; Fungi; Ascomycota; Dothideomycetes.